AGUCAGACAGGCAGACUGAUAGAUAGAUAGAUAGAUAGAUGAUUGACAGAUAGUCAGACAGGCAGACUGAUAGGUAGAUAGAUAGAUAGACAGAUAAAUAGUUAGAUUAACUGAAUGUGUAACAAAGCAAACAAAAGUUUAAGUUUGAACGAGGAAGACAACGAGAAAAAAUAAAAUAGAAAAGAAAUCACAGGUGUGGGAAAAUAGAAAUUAUAGGGUGAAGGAGAAAAGGUAGAAAAGGAGAAAUAAGUCGCUAUUAUUUAGCCUCAAGUUAGCGCUGAAGGGAAAGGCCUAAUGGCAUUUUGACUAGGUCGAACGACGAGGUGUCUCCAACGGAUCCAGAAUGUGAAACAGUGUUUAUAUGGAGAGAGAGAGAGACGACAUAAUAUAGGAGAGAAAAUAUUAGUAUAGUAUAGAGAGAAAGGAAAAGAGAGACAAGUUAUAACGUGGAAGAGAAAGAGAAAAAGAAAAGUGAGGGAGAGAUAGAAAGACAAGAGUAAGAGAGGGUUAGAAAAAGAAAGACGUGAGAGUGAGAGAGAAAGAUGAGAGAGAGGGAGAAAGAUGAGAGGUAGAAAAAAACACAAGAGAGAGAGGGAGAGAGGGAGAAAAACACAGAAAGAGAGAAAGAAAUAUAAUGCCGGGUAGAAAGACAGAGAGAAAAUAGGGGAGAGACAAAAGGAGAGAAAGAGAGGUGGGAGAAAGAGAGAUAUGAUCAAUGAAAGAGGAGUAGAAUGAAAAAGAACGAGAGAAAGAGAGAGAGAGAGGGCUGCGCGUGUGUUGUGUUGUGUGUGUGUGUGUGUGUGCGUGUGUGUGUGUGUGUGUGCGUGUGUGUAGAAUUCACGUAACGUUACCAUGAAGAGUAUUAGUACAACUAGUAGCUAACAGUUGUAGCAUUAGCUGUCCGUGCGUGUCUGGGAGCUUUACUUAACGACACAACACACGCAUUUAUAUAAAUAUAUAUAUACUUGAAGGUGGACAAACAAGCAGUGAGUGAUUUACCCUAUCUCUUCAAGCAGUUGCUCUCUUGAACACCAUGAUGUUUUGACAAUGAGCAUCGCUGAUUGACAGGUGAGCCAAGGUAGCAGUCUUGUUCAUAGCGCGCCCUCCUACUGGUUCGAAGGCAUGUACCACCAAACAGGAAUUGUCACCACAGACAUUGUUGUCCAACAAACUCGUUAGCUGCUCUGGAGUAAUUCAGAAGAAUUAGCAGUCAAUAUUUUUAGCAUGGGUUAGACGGUUCGACAAGACCAGGAUAAGCUGCAGAGUUGUCAGGCUUUGAAAUGGUUUCUACAGCUGGAUGCCCUUCCUAAUUCUGAAUCUCAUCGUAUGUGACUGUGUGUGUGUGUGUACACGCACAUAUAUGUAUAUAUAUAUAUAUAUGUAUAUAUAUAU
Octopus bimaculoides (California two-spot octopus) is the source of this 1392-nucleotide long non-coding RNA. The record is from RefSeq and is a predicted model, not a curated record. NCBI's taxonomy places the organism in Eukaryota, Metazoa, Mollusca, Cephalopoda, Octopoda, Octopodidae.